This 346-nucleotide ribosomal RNA is filed under the name uncultured Acidobacteriota bacterium. Its description in RNAcentral is "bacterial SSU rRNA". It matches the Rfam family "Bacterial small subunit ribosomal RNA", at positions 514 to 858 of the family's 1533-position model. The record is from RNAcentral. Lineage: Bacteria; Pseudomonadati; Acidobacteriota.
GCCGCGGUAAUACAGAGGGUGCGAGCGUUGUUCGGGAUUAUUGGGCGUAAAGGGCGCGUGGGGGGUCUGGUAAGUCACCUGUGAAAUCUCCUGGCUCAAAAGGGAGCUUGCAGGCGAAACUGCCUGGCUGGAGUGUGGGAGAGGUGCGUGGAAUUCCCGGUGUAGCGGUGAAAUGCGUAGAUAUCUGGAGGAACACCUGUGGCGAAAGCGGCGCACUGGACCACAACUGACGCUGAGGCGCGAAAGGUAGGGGAGCAAACACGAUUAGAUACCCCGGUAGUCCCCGCCCUAAACUAUGGAUGCUUGCUGUGAUCGGUACCCAAUCCGUUCGUGCCGCAGCUAACGC